CAGCCGCCACGGGAAUACGUAGGUGGCAAGCGUUGUCCGGAAUUAUUGGGCGUAAAGGGCUUGCAGGCGGUUUCUUAAGUCUGAUGUGAAAGCCCCCGGCUCAACCGGGGAGGGUCAUUGGAAACUGGGAAACUUGAGUGCAGAAGAGGAGAGUGGAAUUCCACGUGUAGCGGCGAAAUGCGUAGAGAUGUGGAGGAACACCAGUGGCGAAGGCGACUCUCUGGUCUGUAACUGACGCUGAGGAGCGAAAGCGUGGGGAGCGAACAGGAUUAGAUACCCGCGUAGUCCCUGUCUCUUAUAC
RNAcentral lists this ribosomal RNA (301 nucleotides) under uncultured bacterium. Its description in RNAcentral is "partial 16S ribosomal RNA". It matches the Rfam family "Bacterial small subunit ribosomal RNA", at positions 509 to 807 of the family's 1533-position model. The record is from RNAcentral.